RNAcentral lists this ribosomal RNA (761 nucleotides) under uncultured Bacillota bacterium. RNAcentral's name for it is "bacterial SSU rRNA". It matches the Rfam family "Bacterial small subunit ribosomal RNA", at positions 8 to 752 of the family's 1533-position model. Lineage: Bacteria; Bacillati; Bacillota. The record is from RNAcentral.
AGGGUUUGAUCNUGGCUCAGGACGAACGCUGGCGGCGUGCCUAAUACAUGCAAGUCGAGCGGAACCAGAGGAGCUUGCUCCUUCUGGUUUAGCGGCGGACGGGUGAGUAACACGUGGGCAACCUGCCCUGCAGAUCGGGAUAACUCCGGGAAACCGGUGCUAAUACCGAAUAGUUUUCGCCACCUCCUGGUGGCGUACGGAAAGACGGUUUCGGCUGUCACUGCAGGAUGGGCCCGCGGCGCAUUAGCUAGUUGGUGGGGUAACGGCCCACCAAGGCGACGAUGCGUAGCCGACCUGAGAGGGUGAUCGGCCACACUGGGACUGAGACACGGCCCAGACUCCUACGGGAGGCAGCAGUAGGGAAUCUUCCGCAAUGGACGCAAGUCUGACGGAGCAACGCCGCGUGAGUGAUGAAGGUUUUCGGAUCGUAAAACUCUGUUGCGAGGGAAGAAACCGUGCCAACUAACUACUGGCACCUUGACGGUACCUCGCCAGAAAGCCACGGCUAACUACGUGCCAGCAGCCGCGGUAAUACGUAGGUGGCAAGCGUUGUCCGGAAUUAUUGGGCGUAAAGCGCGCGCAGGCGGUCCCUUAAGUCUGAUGUGAAAGCCCACGGCUCAACCGUGGAGGGUCAUUGGAAACUGGGGGACUUGAGUGCAGAAGAGGAAAGUGGAAUUCCAUGUGUAGCGGUGAAAUGCGUAAAGAUGUGGAGGAACACCAGUGGCGAAGGCGACUUUCUGGUCUGUAACUGACGCUGAGGC